UUAGUUAUGUUAAGUUAUUGAAUUAUUAGAGUAGUUGUUAUUAGUUGUUCUGUUGUUGGUGGUGGAGGUGUAGUGUUGUUGCUGUUAUGACUGUUGGUAUGAUUGAUGUUGUUGUAUUGAAUUAUUGUUAUAAUGGUUGGUGGUAGUGAUGCAAUGUAGAACAAUAAAGUGUUGUAAUUCGUAGAAAUCACAGGUCAGUUUCGUAAUUCAUGUUUUUCAACAGUUUUCGGGCGUUUUUCGCAAAAAUACUAUUUCACAAAAGUUGUUCAUAUUGAAAUUCUACUCAAGUUAGGCUCAAGAAACGCUUGAUUCGGAGUUCGAAGGAGGAAGUUAUGUUCAUAUUAAGUUUCUGCUCAAAUUUCAUAUUUUAUAUAGUUGAUUUAAAAACUCUACGUCUUCAUAUACUUGUUUCAUAAUGAACUUUUGAGUUACCAUAUGUACAUAUGAUUCUGUAAUGUUGAAUUUAUAUAAAGUAAGAUGAUUUCAAUUAAUUUGGUAAGGGUUUGAGUUAGACGGUUUUAGUUAGACGUUAGAACAUGAAAGUCAUUAUAUGAUAAAAGAACAUGAUAUGUUUGUUGGAUGUUUUAUAUGAAUUUAGGAAAGGUUGAUUGCUUUGUGAACUAAGUUAGUUGUAUCCAAGUCUUUUAUUACUUACGAAGUACACAUAUUUAUAUUGUAGCUUUCGGUUUCACUGAAGAGUCGUUUAGACCGAGAUAGUUGUUUAACUAUGAUUCGAAAAGGUACAUGAAGGUAAUGUAUAAUGAAGAAGGUUCGAUGUUGGAAGUUUGUUGUAUGCUUUAUACUAGUUGUAUCGCGGCGAGGACGAUCAACUUUGUAAUAUUAUAGUUAAUAGUUAAUUUGUAAUUAAAUUAAAAAGGUUUGAGUUUGUAAAGUCUAGACUUGUUUGGGUUGCUGGAUUUUGAGGAUACAUGAUUAUGAAUCGGACGCGAGUCCUAAAUUAAGUUUUAGGCGGUCCAUAUUACAAAUGGAACUCUGCCGAAUUUUCUGUAGAAUUUUAAUAAUAUAUCUAGUUGUUUAAAA
Long non-coding RNA from Beta vulgaris subsp. vulgaris (sugar beet), 1041 nucleotides. RefSeq lists it as uncharacterized. The transcript has 2 exons. Lineage: Eukaryota; Viridiplantae; Streptophyta; Magnoliopsida; Caryophyllales; Amaranthaceae. The record is from RefSeq and is a predicted model, not a curated record.